CCCGCAACGAGCGCAACCCCCGCCGUUAGUUGCCAGCGGUUCGGCCGGGCACUCUAACGGGACUGCCCGCGAAAGCGGGAGGAAGGAGGGGACGACGUCUGGUCAGCAUGGCCCUUACGGCCUGGGCGACACACGUGCUACAAUGCCCACUACAAAGCGAUGCCACCCGGCAACGGGGAGCUAAUCGCAAAAAGGUGGGCCCAGUUCGGAUUGGGGUCUGCAACCCGACCCCAUGAAGCCGGAAUCGCUAGUAAUCGCGGAUCAGCCAUGCCGCGGUGAAUACGUUCCCGGGCCUU
Molecule: ribosomal RNA, 296 nt
Filed under: uncultured Thermus sp.
Lineage: Bacteria; Thermotogati; Deinococcota; Deinococci; Thermales; Thermaceae
Description: partial 16S ribosomal RNA
Rfam family: Bacterial small subunit ribosomal RNA
Source: RNAcentral